GAAGCCAGAGGUCUGAAUAAAUUGACAUUUCUUACCCAGGCAAGCCAAGAUAAUGGACCCAGGAGGAGGCCCUCAGUAGCUUCUAAUCUUCUAGGCUGAUACCUAUCUUAAGCUGCAGGAGUAAAUGUUAAUAAGUAUGCUCUAUACUCUUUCAUAUACCUAUUCUGCAAUGUAGUUUGAACUGACCGGCUCACCUUUCUGCAGAAGUUUUUUAAGACUACCAGCUGCCUGUUUCAGUCAACAUUUAAUUUUGCAGUUCUUACCAUUCUUUCAAGCCCUUUUAUGAUACACUCUGAAAUUCAAGUUCUGUCUGAUUCCCAAGGAAUAUGAAGUCAGUAUUUUUUGACCAUAGAUACCCUGUAUGU
This 365-nucleotide long non-coding RNA is filed under the name Bos taurus (domestic cattle). Its description in RNAcentral is "long non-coding RNA NONBTAT013618". Lineage: Eukaryota; Metazoa; Chordata; Mammalia; Artiodactyla; Bovidae. The record is from RNAcentral.